AAAUGAAUAGACGGGGACCCGCACAAGCGGUGGAGCAUGUGGUUUAAUUCGAUGCAACGCGAAGAACCUUACCUGGUCUUGACAUCUACAGAACUUUCCAGAGAUGGAUGGGUGCCUUCGGGAACUGUAAGACAGGUGCUGCAUGGCUGUCGUCAGCUCGUGUCGUGAGAUGUUCGGUUAAGUCCGGCAACGAGCGCAACCCUUGUCCUUAUUUGCCAGCACGUAAUGGUGGGAACUCUAAGGAGACUGCCGGUGAUAAACCGGAGGAAGGUAGGGACGACGUCAAGUCAUCAUGGCCCUUAUGACCAGGGCUACACACGUGCUACAAUGGUCGGUACAAUGGGUUGCCAAACCGCGAGGUGGAGCUAAUCCCACAAAACCGAUCCCAGUCCGGAUUGUAGUCUGCAACUCGACUACAUGAAGUCGGAAUCGCUAGUAAUCGUGGAUCAGAAUGCCACGGUGAAUACGUUCCCGGGUCUUGUACACACCGCCCGU
RNAcentral lists this ribosomal RNA (495 nucleotides) under uncultured bacterium. Its description in RNAcentral is "bacterial SSU rRNA". It matches the Rfam family "Bacterial small subunit ribosomal RNA", at positions 903 to 1397 of the family's 1533-position model. The record is from RNAcentral.